This 77-nucleotide transfer RNA is filed under the name Bacillota bacterium. Its description in RNAcentral is "Firmicutes bacterium (anaerobic digester metagenome) tRNA-Pro". It matches the Rfam family "tRNA". From Rfam's summary of the family: Transfer RNA (tRNA) molecules are approximately 80 nucleotides in length. Lineage: Bacteria; Bacillati; Bacillota. The record is from RNAcentral.
CGGGGCGUGGCGCAGCUUGGUAGCGCACUUGGUUUGGGACCAAGGGGCCGCCGGUUCGAAUCCGGCCGCCCCGACCA